This 525-nucleotide ribosomal RNA is filed under the name Pantoea sp. Z2NS-250. Its description in RNAcentral is "bacterial SSU rRNA". It matches the Rfam family "Bacterial small subunit ribosomal RNA", at positions 68 to 582 of the family's 1533-position model. The record is from RNAcentral. Lineage: Bacteria; Pseudomonadati; Pseudomonadota; Gammaproteobacteria; Enterobacterales; Erwiniaceae.
GGUAGCACAGAGGAGCUUGCUCCUUGGGUGACGAGUGGCGGACGGGUGAGUAAUGUCUGGGGAUCUGCCCGAUAGAGGGGGAUAACCACUGGAAACGGUGGCUAAUACCGCAUAACGUCGCAAGACCAAAGAGGGGGACCUUCGGGCCUCUCACUAUCGGAUGAACCCAGAUGGGAUUAGCUAGUAGGCGGGGUAAUGGCCCACCUAGGCGACGAUCCCUAGCUGGUCUGAGAGGAUGACCAGCCACACUGGAACUGAGACACGGUCCAGACUCCUACGGGAGGCAGCAGUGGGGAAUAUUGCACAAUGGGCGCAAGCCUGAUGCAGCCAUGCCGCGUGUAUGAAGAAGGCCUUCGGGUUGUAAAGUACUUUCAGCGGGGAGGAAGGCGANGCGGUUAAUAACCGUGUCGAUUGACGUUACCCGCAGAAGAAGCACCGGCUAACUCCGUGCCAGCAGCCGCGGUAAUACGGAGGGUGCAAGCGUUAAUCGGAAUUACUGGGCGUAAAGCGCACGCAGGCGGUCUG